RNAcentral lists this ribosomal RNA (454 nucleotides) under uncultured bacterium. Its description in RNAcentral is "partial 16S ribosomal RNA". It matches the Rfam family "Bacterial small subunit ribosomal RNA", at positions 28 to 507 of the family's 1533-position model. The record is from RNAcentral.
GAUGAACGCUGACAGAAUGCUUAACACAUGCAAGUCUACUUGAACUUCGGUUUGGGUGGCGGUCGGGUGAGUAACGCGUACAGAACUUGCCUCACAGUUAGGGACAACAUUUGGAAACGAAUGCUAAUACCUGAUAUUAUGAUUUUAGGGCAUCCUAAAAUUAUGAAAGCUAUAUGCGCUGUGAGAGAGCUUUGCGUCCCAUUAGCUAGUUGGAGAGGUAACGGCUCACCAAGGCGAUGAUGGGUAGCCGGCCUGAGAGGGUGAACGGCCACAAGGGGACUGAGACACGGCCCUUACUCCUACGGGAGGCAGCAGUGGGGAAUAUUGGACAAUGGACCAAAAGUCUGAUCCAGCAAUUCUGUGUGCACGAUGACGUUUUUCGGAAUGUAAAGUGCUUUCAGUUGGGAAGAAAAAAAUGACGGUACCAACAGAAGAAGUGACGGCUAAAUACGUG